CCAAACUUUAAUUCCAAGCAUUUCGUGACUUGCUCCUGCCCUUUCUGCAGACAUGCGAAAAGAAGCACAAUUACCACUGACGACGUGAAGCUCUUAUUGAGGCGGAGUAAUUCACUGCUAAAGUACAUUACAGAGAAGAACAAAGAGAUCGCACAGCUUAACCUGGAACAAAAGGCCAAGAAGAAAAGGAAGUCGGAGGAUGAAGGCAGGAGCUCUAGGGAGCCCGGGGCUGAAGAGCUGGGCGAUGAAAGUUAAGUCCUGGCCGCUUGGAAAGGAAGCCUUCAGCGGGAAGCGGCGUGCACGCCGGGAGGUCUCUGAGGGGAUGAGGACGGACGUUUGAAGAAAGUACUGAGUGGAGGGCAGCUGUUUGUCUGCCUGUUUGAAGUCACUCCAAGAGCUGGGAAUUCUGGCCACCCCCAGACUUCACCUGCACAGGAAAGGCUUGCGCUCUGGAGGCACGCUGUGACUUAGUGACUGGUAAAAUACCUUAGCAAUCAGACUUAGCAAACAGCGCUGGCUGUUGGGGGCUGGCUGUUGGGGGCGAGCUAAGGCCAAACGCAGGUCUCUGAAGGCUGAAUAAAGUUGUGUUUGCUGGGC
Molecule: long non-coding RNA, 597 nt
Filed under: Rattus norvegicus (Norway rat)
Lineage: Eukaryota; Metazoa; Chordata; Mammalia; Rodentia; Muridae
Description: long non-coding RNA NONRATT023861
Source: RNAcentral